GAUGAACGCUGACAGAAUGCUUAACACAUGCAAGUCUACUUGAAUUUGGGUUUUUUAACUUAGAUUUGGGUGGCGGACGGGUGAGUAACGCGUAAAGAACUUGCCUCACAGCUAGGGACAACAUUUGGAAACGAAUGCUAAUACCUGAUAUUAUGAUUAUAAGGCAUCUUAGAAUUAUGAAAGCUAUAUGCGCUGUGAGAGAGCUUUGCGUCCCAUUAGCUAGUUGGAGAGGUAACGGCUCACCAAGGCGAUGAUGGGUAGCCGGCCUGAGAGGGUGAACGGCCACAAGGGGACUGAGACACGGCCCUUACUCCUACGGGAGGCAGCAGUGGGGAAUAUUGGACAAUGGACCAAGAGUCUGAUCCAGCAAUUCUGUGUGCACGAUGACGUUUUUCGGAAUGUAAAGUGCCUUCAGUUGGGAAGAAAAAAAUGACGGUACCAACAGAAGAAGUGACGGCUAAAUACGUG
Molecule: ribosomal RNA, 468 nt
Filed under: uncultured bacterium
Lineage: Bacteria
Description: partial 16S ribosomal RNA
Rfam family: Bacterial small subunit ribosomal RNA
Source: RNAcentral